Molecule: ribosomal RNA, 469 nt
Filed under: uncultured bacterium
Lineage: Bacteria
Description: partial 16S ribosomal RNA
Rfam family: Bacterial small subunit ribosomal RNA
Source: RNAcentral
GACGAACGCUGGCGGCAUGCUUAACACAUGCAAGUCGAACGGAAAGGCCCUGCUUUUGUGGGGUGCUCGAGUGGCGAACGGGUGAGUAACACGUGAGUAACCUGCCCUUGACUUUGGGAUAACUUCAGGAAACUGGGGCUAAUACCGGAUAGGAGCUCCUGCUGCAUGGUGGGGGUUGGAAAGUUUCGGCGGUUGGGGAUGGACUCGCGGCUUAUCAGCUUGUUGGUGGGGUAGUGGCUUACCAAGGCUUUGACGGGUAGCCGGCCUGAGAGGGUGACCGGCCACAUUGGGACUGAGAUACGGCCCAGACUCCUACGGGAGGCAGCAGUGGGGAAUAUUGCACAAUGGGCGGAAGCCUGAUGCAGCAACGCCGCGUGCGGGAUGACGGCCUUCGGGUUGUAAACCGCUUUCGCCUGUGACGAAGCGUGAGUGACGGUAAUGGGUAAAGAAGCACCGGCUAACUACGUGC